This 434-nucleotide ribosomal RNA is filed under the name uncultured bacterium. Its description in RNAcentral is "bacterial SSU rRNA". It matches the Rfam family "Bacterial small subunit ribosomal RNA", at positions 29 to 506 of the family's 1533-position model. The record is from RNAcentral.
AUGAACGCUGGCGGCGUGGAUAAGGCAUGCAAGUCAAGGGGGCCCGCAAGGGCAACCGGCUAACGAGGUAGUAAUAUGUAGGAACCUCCCUUCAAGUCAAGAAUAACGAGUCGAAAGAUUCGCUAAUACUUGAUAGUCUCUUCGGAGUAAAGAUUUAUCGCUUGAAGAAGGGCCUGCAAGAUAUCAGCUAGUUGGUAAGGUAAUGGCUUACCAAGGCUAUGACGUCUAGGGGAGCUGAGAGGCUGACCCCCACCGAUGGUACUGAGACACGGACCAUACACCUACGGGUGGCUGCAGUCGAGAAUCUUCCGCAAUGGGCGAAAGCCUGACGGAGCGACGCCGCGUGAUUGAUGAAGUCCUUCGGGACGUAAAGAUCUUUUAUGAGGGAGAAAGUUAUUGAUAGUACCUCAUGAAUAAGGGGUUGCUAAACUCGU